CUGAAAACAGAUGCCUAAGCAUAUUCCAAAAUUCCUGUGCGCCAGUGACUGAUCUCUCUGGAACAACAGCAGCCUCUCCUGCACGUUGGGCAUUUCUAUGAUGAAGAACAAGCGGCGGUUCUAAGAAGUGCAUGUGGCUGGUUAUCUAGGAAAUGAGCAAGCUAUUUUUUACUCAUAAUUACCCCCAUCAAGAUGUAAUGAAGAAGACUUGAGCAUCAACCAGAGUUCCUGAGUUUGGAGCUGAGUCCAGCAGAAAAAUGAAGCUUUUCUCAUAUUGCAGUGAAUCAUACUUUGAUGAAAAAUACUUAACUUCAAAAUUAAUUAGGAGGGAGAAAGCUGAAUCUCAUAUCACUG
This is a non-coding RNA of Microcebus murinus (gray mouse lemur), 354 nucleotides long. NCBI's taxonomy places the organism in Eukaryota, Metazoa, Chordata, Mammalia, Primates, Cheirogaleidae. The record is from RefSeq and is a predicted model, not a curated record.